Long non-coding RNA from Vidua macroura (Pin-tailed whydah), 1593 nucleotides. RefSeq lists it as uncharacterized. The transcript has 2 exons. The record is from RefSeq and is a predicted model, not a curated record. NCBI's taxonomy places the organism in Eukaryota, Metazoa, Chordata, Aves, Passeriformes, Viduidae.
CAGGGCCAGGAACGCCUUCCCCUGGGGCCGGCCGAAUCCAGGGGAGCGGGGCCCGUCGCAGGGAACGGCGGUCACCGGGAGCAGCGGUGCCAGCGCCCCGAUCGCCCUCUCCCCCCUGCUGAACGGAGCACCGCGGCCUUUGGGCUGCGAUGUCCCCUGGGCGCGCCUGGGUCACCUGCCCAGCUGCGUCUGCUCCCUGCUGUGCCCAGCGGGAAUCCAAACCCGCCCCAGCUCAGCCCCUGGGGAGAAAAUGAACUCCAGGCCGGGGAAACCAGCGGAGCACACCGCGGUGAUAGAGGUGUUUGCUGUAGGCACGCUAUGGCUUGUGGUAAAACACAUCUGUGAGCCUGCCCACAGCUGGAGCCACGCGCACUUGCAAAUUUAAACUGGGGGAAUUACUGCAAGGUCCCUGUAGUAGUCCUGUCUUGGAAGCAAAGACUACAAAUUAGAUAUUACCAAUCUACCUCACUGCCCAAUUAAAAGUCAGUUGCAGUCCACACAUAAAGAAAAUACCUGGAAUGCAUAAUUACUGAAAAUACAAUACAGAAGGGGAAAAAAGGAUACUUUUCUUUCCAAGUCUCAGAAAAACACUAGGUGAGAUAUUCCUCGUUGUGUAAAAAGGUUUGGAGAAAUUUCUCCUUAACCCACACCAUGGAAUCACCUUUAUGUCAGGCUCCAUCUGUAGAAUUCUUAUUCAUGUAAAUAAUACAGGGCUUGAAUUCAUGUUUUCUCCAGUGAUUUUUAAACUUUUGCAUUUCACUUGAAGAGAAAAAGGGAAUCUCAUAAGCCUGAUUUUGCCAUUUUUGCCACUUCUAGCAGUGUGGAAAGGGGCAGACAUAGAAGGAGACUAUUUUUUAAUUUAAAGAAGAUGUAAGGUUGUGAGAUAACAUGAAUUUCAGACUUUUAUCAGUAAAAUUAAAUGUGUAGUGCUUAACAUGUGUGAAGUCAUGCUUCCAAAUAGAAUAUUUGCUAUCCAAGAGAUUUGCCAAUUUUACAAUAAUAGAACUGCCAUAAAUGAGACCAUAAUUAAAACCUUAUAUAGAAAAUUAUCAGCUUCUAUAUUGCUAAGUGUUGGAAUCAAGGGUCAGUUUCUCAAAAAUUUGCUCAUAUCUGAAGCAAAACAUCUUACCUGCUCAUUUGUGCAGACAGAUAGCAGCUGCAGAAGGUAGUAACCGACGCCAUUUAAGCAAGUAGGGAAGAAAGAGUGACUGGAAUUGAGAAAAAAGGAUUUGAGAUUUCAUGGCCAUGCCAUCAAAACGCCUGAGCAGUCACCGUGUACACCCAGACAGUGGCAUGUGGAGUGAAGAGGGGAAGUGGAAAAUGCAGCUACCUGACAGCUCUAGUGCCCAGACAACUGAACAAGCAGCAGAUCCACAAGGAGAAAAGAAAAGGUGUCUCAUAAUGGCCCAGCCCCAAAGUGAGCAAGAGCAAAGGACCAAAUCCAAAUUCCACAAGUAUGGAAGACUUGGAAGAUUUGAACAUUAGUUAAUUUAAUUUCAUUUCAUUUAAGAGAGCUGUUCCAGGCACGUGUUAUUCACAUGAAAAACGUGUUCUGGUGAUGGGACUAUUAAAUCCUCUGUUUUAUAUUUCUUA